Molecule: ribosomal RNA, 467 nt
Filed under: uncultured bacterium
Lineage: Bacteria
Description: partial 16S ribosomal RNA
Rfam family: Bacterial small subunit ribosomal RNA
Source: RNAcentral
GACGAACGCUGGCGGCGUGCUUAACACAUGCAAGUCGAACGGAAAGGCCCUGCUUUUGUGGGGUGCUCGAGUGGCGAACGGGUGAGUAACACGUGAGUAACCUGCCCUUGACUUUGGUAUAACUUCAGGAAACUGGGGCUAAUACCGGAUCGGAGCUCCUGCUGCAUGGUGGGGGUUGGAAAGUUUCGGCGGUUGGGGAUGGACUCGCGGCUUAUCAGCUUGUUGGUGGGGUAGUGGCUUACCAAGGCUUUGACGGGUAGCCGGCCUGAGAGGGUGACCGGCCACAUUGGGACAGAGAUACGGCCCAGACUCAUACGGGGGGCAGCAGUGGGGAAUAUUGCACAAUGGGCGGAAGCCGGAUGCAACAACGCCGCGUGGGGGAUGACGGCCUUCGGGUUGUAAAACGCUUUCGCCUGUGACGAAGCGUGAGUGACGGUAAUGGGUAAAGAAGCACCGGCUAACUACGU